GGGUUCGAUUCCGGAGAGGGAGCCUGAGAGAUGGCUACCACUUCUAAGGAAGGCAGCAGGCGCGCAAAUUACCCAAUCCCAAUACGGGGAGGUAGUGACAAUAAAUAACAAUACAGGUCUUGAACAAAGUCGUGUAAUUGGAAUGAGAGCAAUGUAAAUAUCUCAACGAGUAACAAUUGGAGGGCAAGUCUGGUGCCAGCAGC
This 203-nucleotide ribosomal RNA is filed under the name uncultured eukaryote. RNAcentral describes it as "partial 18S ribosomal RNA". It matches the Rfam family "Eukaryotic small subunit ribosomal RNA", at positions 373 to 574 of the family's 1831-position model. The record is from RNAcentral.